RNAcentral lists this unclassified non-coding RNA (643 nucleotides) under uncultured Prochlorococcus sp. Its description in RNAcentral is "partial 16S-23S ribosomal RNA intergenic spacer; may also contain 16S ribosomal RNA and 23S ribosomal RNA". The stretch from base 306 to 378 matches the Rfam family "tRNA". Lineage: Bacteria; Bacillati; Cyanobacteriota; Cyanophyceae; Synechococcales; Prochlorococcaceae. The record is from RNAcentral.
UUGUGGAGGAGGACGCCGAAGGUGGGGCUAAUGACUGGGGUGAAGUCGUAACAAGGUAGCCGUACCGGAAGGUGCGGCUGGAUCACCUCCUAACAGGGAGACAACAAAAUGUUUAAUAUUAUUAUUUUGUCACCUUAGGUCGAUCGGUAUCUCACAUCCUUAAAUUAAUUAAGGAUUUUAUUUCCUAAGUUUUUCUAGGUCACACCCAUUAUUUUUCCUGGGCCAUUAGCUCAGGUGGUUAGAGCGCACCCCUGAUAAGGGUGAGGUCCCUGGUUCAAGUCCAGGAUGGCCCAUAUCUCUAUGUUGGGGGUAUAGCUCAGUUGGUAGAGCGCCUGCUUUGCAAGCAGGAUGUCAGCGGUUCGAGUCCGCUUACCUCCACUGAUUACCACCUCUUCCAUAAUUUUAAGGAAAUGUUUUGAGUUGUGAUCAAAUUCUGAGCGAAUCUAGCUUCCUAAUGAAAUCAUUAAGAUGCUGGACUCAUUGAAUUAAAUUCAUUGUUUUCAGAGAACCUUGACAACUGCAUAGAUUAUUUUUAAAGACAAUAAGCAUCUUUAAUGAUGCAGAUUUAUUAUUUGUGCGAAUGCAUUAAUAACAAUUCUAUUAAGCUGAUGCUUCAAUUUUGAAGUUAUUGGUCAAGCUACAA